Molecule: ribosomal RNA, 501 nt
Filed under: uncultured bacterium
Lineage: Bacteria
Description: partial 16S rRNA
Source: RNAcentral
GCACGGAGUUAGCCGGAGCUUACAAACGGUACCGUCAUCGCUGGUGAUGUUCGCACCAACUUAUUCUUCCCGUUCUUGCGAAGUUUACAUCCCGAGGGAUUUCAUCCUUCACGCGGCGUUGCUGGGUCAGGCUUUCGCCCAUUGCCCAAAAUUCCCGACUGCUGCCUCCCGUAGGAGUCUGACCCGUAUGUCAGUGUCAGUGUGGCCGACCGCCCUCUCAGGCCGGCUACGGAUCAUCGCCUUGGUAAGCCGUUACCUUACCAACUAGCUAAUCCGCCGCAGGCUCCUCUUUAGACGCGAGGUCUUUCGAUCCCCCGCUUUAACAACUGUCACCAUUAGGUGCCGCUGCAUUAUGCGGUAUUAGCAACCGUUUCCGAUUGUUAUUCCCCAUCCAAAGGUAGAUUACCUACGUGUUACUCACCCGUGCGCCACUCUACUUGCUCCCCGAAGGGAACUUUCGCGUUCGACUUGCAUGUCUGAGGCACGCCGCCAGCGUUGAUU